This 253-nucleotide ribosomal RNA is filed under the name uncultured bacterium. RNAcentral describes it as "partial 16S ribosomal RNA". It matches the Rfam family "Bacterial small subunit ribosomal RNA", at positions 524 to 776 of the family's 1533-position model. The record is from RNAcentral.
UACGGGGGGGGCAAGCGUUGUUCGGAAUUACUGGGCGUAAAGGGCUCGUAGGCGGCCAACUAAGUCAGACGUGAAAUCCCUCGGCUUAACCGGGGAACUGCGUCUGAUACUGGAUGGCUCGAGUUUGGGAGAGGGAUGCGGAAUUCCAGGUGUAGCGGUGAAAUGCGUAGAUAUCGGGAGGAACACCUGUGGCGAAAGCGGCUCACUGGACCACAACUGACGCUGAUGCGCGAAAGCUAGGGGAGCAAACAGG